Clupea harengus (Atlantic herring) is the source of this 1307-nucleotide long non-coding RNA. The record is from Ensembl. NCBI's taxonomy places the organism in Eukaryota, Metazoa, Chordata, Actinopteri, Clupeiformes, Clupeidae.
UUUGGGCCACUGUUUUGUCUUGGUUAUUUCCUCUUCUCUCUAUACCCCCCUCAUAUCUCCUUCCUGUCACUCUUCAGAUUCUCCUUUCUUCCCAGUCUCAUCUAUCUUCCCCAUCUCUGCUCCCUUGUUCCAGUCCAGAUCUGACUGGGUUUCAACCCAAAAGGGCCUUGAGCAUUGUCUUUAUUGAAUGCUAUUUUUGGGUCAUAUAUCUUUAUUGCAUCCUCUCCACUCAGACCAGCCUAAACCACUAAUUGCUGAAUUUAUGGUUAUUGGAUUUAUUUAUGCUCUGGUGCAGUGGUGGGAACUUCCAGUAUUGCUGUGAGCUAUGGCAUGUUUCUUAUGUCGUCCCUGGGUACCAAUCCUUAGUUAGGUGCUAGAGAGUCUGAUAACUUAGCUAACUUUUAUGGUAUAGGCUAGGUACACAAAUCUUGUCUUACAAGUACUUUGAAAGUGUCUCUUCUCUCUACAUUCUCUUCCCCGAUUCAGCACGAUUGCUCUUUAUUUGACUAUUUUAGGGUUUUAUCACAGGUAGAAGAUGGAAGAGAAAUCAUUGACAAUAUUAACCUGUUUCCAUCACAGGCAUCGAUCCCAACAUCAAUGAUAUUUAUGGCAUAGCCACUGUCACGGAACGAACAGACUCCGAGAUAGGAAUACUUGGAACAGAGUUUAUUGCAGACAGAGAUAGCCAGGAACACACAGGACAGACAACAGGUUGCAGACACGGAGAUGCUGGUGCAGACACGGAGAUGCUGAGGGGUUAAUCCUCGAGAACACAGUCACAACCCAUGGAGGGGCGCAGGCUCGUAGCACUGCUGGGAACUGAGGGAACUGGCGAUCUAAUCGCAGAAAUGAACAAAGCAGAGGCAACCUCUGAGCGAACUAACUAUAACUGAAAACGCCGUUGCGGCACUAACUAAACAAGAACUAAGACUAUAAGCUAAACGGGAACUAAGGCGAUAAACGUAACUGAUUCGAACUAUGACGGGAGAGAAAGUAAUCCACAUGAAAGUCAGGCCGUGGGAAAUCCAAGGUUGUUAAUCCGUUGAAGUGCGAUACCAGACACCGAGUGAAGGGAGUGUGAGGUAUAUGUAGGGGCUGUGACAGGUGUGGGUGAUUAGGAACCCGGUGAGUGUAAACGCGGUGCAGGUGAGUGAGGAUACAGGUGUGGGUGAUUAGGAACCCGGUGAGUGUAAACGCGGUGCAGGUGAGUGAGGAUACAGGUGUAAGUGAUCAAUACUCCGGUGAGAGUGAGCGAGUGGAAACCAACGGGGGCGUGGCUGGUGCAGGUCCGGGCUCUGACGUGACAG